GGAGUUAGCCGGUGCUUCUUCUGUGAGUGAUGUCCUUCCUGCCGGCUAUUAACCCGCAGGCCUUCUUCCUCACUGAAAGUGCUUUACAACCCGAAGGCCUUCUUCACACACGCGGCAUGGCUGGAUAAGGGUUGCCCCCAUUGUCCAAUAUUCCCCACUGCUGCCUCCCGUAGGAGUCUGGGCCGUGUCUCAGUCCCAGUGUGGCUGAUCAUCCUCUCAGACCAGCUACGGAUCGUCGCCUUGGUGAGCCGUUACCUCACCAACCAGCUAAUCCGACAUAGGCUCAUCCGAUAGCGCGAGGCCCGAAGGUCCCCCGCUUUCCCCCGUAGGGCGUAUGCGGUAUUAGCCUGGGUUUCACCAGGUUAUCCCCCACUACCGGGCAGAUUCCUAUGCAUUACUCACCCGUCCGCCGCUCGCCACCAGGGAGCAAGCUCCCCGUGCUGCCGCUCGACUUGCAUGUGUUAGGCCUGCCGCCAGCGUUCAAUCUGAGCCAUGAUCAAACUCUGA
Molecule: ribosomal RNA, 507 nt
Filed under: uncultured bacterium
Lineage: Bacteria
Description: partial 16S ribosomal RNA
Source: RNAcentral